This is a long non-coding RNA of Vicia villosa (hairy vetch), 383 nucleotides long. RefSeq lists it as uncharacterized. The record is from RefSeq and is a predicted model, not a curated record. The transcript has 3 exons. NCBI's taxonomy places the organism in Eukaryota, Viridiplantae, Streptophyta, Magnoliopsida, Fabales, Fabaceae.
AACGGAAAGAAAGAACGAACAAAACUCAUUCUCCGUCGAACUCAGCCCUUUGUCAGCUCACCACCAUCGUCCCUCUCUUCAUUUGUAAUUUCCAGUUUCCAGUAGCUUGGUUUUCGAGUAGCAUGAUCCAGAAAUAGAGAAUUACCUUUCGGUUUGACAGUUGCUCGCCAGUUUUUGAUGGAUUCGGACUUAUUGGUUGCCGUUGUUGAUAAAGGUGUCCCUUGUUCUGGUGCACUGGCGCAGGUGUUUUUCCAAAUUCUACUAUGCUACUACUAAGUACUAUGUUACAACGUUGCUAUAGCAGCUUAUUGAUAACAUGUUAUGUUAAAUAACAUGGUGACUUUCCCUCUUAAAGUCUCUUAAACCCAGCCCGUGUUGACAUC